This 253-nucleotide ribosomal RNA is filed under the name uncultured bacterium. RNAcentral describes it as "partial 16S ribosomal RNA". It matches the Rfam family "Bacterial small subunit ribosomal RNA", at positions 524 to 776 of the family's 1533-position model. The record is from RNAcentral.
UACGGGGGGGGCAAGCGUUGUUCGGAAUUACUGGGCGUAAAGGGCUCGUAGGCGGCCAACUAAGUCGGAUGUGAAAUCCCCAGGCUUAACCUGGGAACUGCAUCCGAUACUGGAUGGCUUGAAUCCGGGAGAGGGAUGCAGAAUUCCAGGUGUAGCGGUGAAAUGCGUAGAUAUCUGGAGGAACACCGGUGGCGAAGGCGGCAUCCUGGACCGGCAUUGACGCUGAGGCGCGAAAGCCAGGGGGGCAAACGGG